RNAcentral lists this ribosomal RNA (775 nucleotides) under uncultured Neocallimastigales. RNAcentral's name for it is "partial large subunit ribosomal RNA". It matches the Rfam family "Eukaryotic large subunit ribosomal RNA", at positions 26 to 637 of the family's 3401-position model. The record is from RNAcentral. Lineage: Eukaryota; Fungi; Neocallimastigomycota; Neocallimastigomycetes; Neocallimastigales.
CGCAUCUGUGCAUGCAGCAUAUCAAUAAGCGGAGGAAAAGAAACUAACAAGGAUUCCCCUAGUAACGGCAAGUGAAGCGGGAAGAGCUCAAAUUUGAAAUCUUAAAGGGUUUCCCUUUACGAAUUGUAGUUUAAAGAAGUGUUUUCUGUUGAGGUUUUGGUAAAAGUUCUUUGGAAUAGGACAUCAUAGAGGGUGAGAAUCCCGUAUUUGACCUUUACUUUCAACUUUGUGAUACACUUUCAAAGAGUCGGAUUGUUUGGGAAUGCAGUCCAAAAUGGGUGGUAAAUUUCAUCUAAAGCUAAAUAUUGGCGAGAGACCGAUAGCGAACAAGUACCGUGAGGGAAAGAUGAAAAGAACUUUGAAAAGAGAGUUAAACAGUACGUGAAAUUGUCAAAAGGGAAGCGUUUGACACCAGUGUUGUUUUUCUGAAAAUCAAUUAAAGAACUGUUUAUGCUAAGCUGUUUAGACUUUAUCAGCUAACUGUUUAGUUUUGAGCUUUUCUUUAAUGCACUUUUCAGUUAACAAGUCAACAUCAAUUUCUUUUGCUGUAAAAAAGCUUGAGGAAGGUGGCUUGAGAUUCGUCUUAAGUGUUUAUAGCCUCUUGCCUAUGCAGUCGGAGAGAUUGAGGUCUGCAGCGUAGAUCCUUCGGGGCUAAAUGCAGUUUGUGCUAAGUUAUAGCAUUUUAUAGACAACUUGUUGACUAUGAUUUGUCUUGUAGCUUACUCGCUUAUGUUAUUUUACCUACGCUUAGGAUGUUGACAGCAGUAUAGACUGU